GCUCUACUUGCGGACUUGGAGGAGCCGUGGCCGAAGCUACAUGAGGUCCAGGUAUUGGCAAGAAUUGAAGAACUAUGUUGGCCUGACUUUUCACCGAUGUCUGUGAAUAAAAUAUCGAUUAGAUGAGUAUUAUAUUGUUGAUGAUAAUUAUGUUACGUUAUAAAUAAAUAUGUAGAUGAGUAUUAGGAACUUAUAAUUGCAAAAUUUACACACGUCUGAGCUUCCCAUGUAUCGAAAGCCUUUGUAAAUAUGUUUUUGCGGAUGUAAAAUGGAAUAUUAGAAGGACCAGUCGGAUCGAUGUAGAACUUCACUCUACCACACCCCCAUCUUGCACAAAAAGGAGUGAAGUCGCCAUUGACUGCACUACAGGUUUGUCCAGAUGAUGUUGUUAUGGAUGCGAGGAGGAAGAAACCAAGGAAGACAAGAUAUGACAUGGUGAAUUAAUGACUAGAAUUUAGUUUCAAGCUUUGGGAAAUUGUGUUGUGUUUAAACUCAUCAUACACACCCAUAUUUAUACAACUUUUUUACAAUGUGAAUUUAAUGAGUUGAGUAUAAAAUAUAGCCAUGUUCAAUGUAUAUUAAAACUUUUAUAAAAUUCAAAUGUAUCUGAGGAUCGUAUUAAAAAGAAUAUGUACGAUGAAUAAUUUGUGGACAUGCAUAUAUAUAUUUUCGUAACACAACUUCAAUCCGCAUAAAGUUAACGAUCUUAUCUUAAAAAAAUUGGUUGUAUUUUAAAUACAUAUUAUAAUUAUGUUUAUUAUACAAAAUUAAGUUAAAUUUUAUUAUAUUUUAAGCAAAAUAAAUUACAAUUUAAUUAUAUACUAUUUUCUGAUAAAAUCGAAAAAAUAUCUCUUCUGACUCUUCUUGUUGAAAAAAAAUGUAGUUAAUGUUGACCAUUUCCCAAGUACUUUUCACUUGUAAUAAAUUUAUGAUCGAUACAUAUUUUCGUGUUCAAAUUAUUUUAUUUCAACACCACAAAAUAUAUGUGGACAAACUUUACUAAUGAUUUUAUCCUAAAAUAUUUGAUUAUAUUUUAAAUAUAUAUUCUAAUUCUAUUUAUUAUAUAUACACAAUUUCUCGUACAUUUGUAAGUUGACUUUUAUUAUAUUUAAAGCAAAAUAAAUUACAAUUUAAUUAUAUACUAUUUUCUGAUAAAAUCGAAAAAAAUAUCUCUUUUGACUGCACUACAGGUUUGUCCGGAUGAUGUUGUUAUGGAUGCGAGGAGAAGAAACCAAGGAAGAUAAGAUAUGACAUGGUGAAUUAAUGACAAGAAUUUAGUUUCAAGCUUUGGGAAAU
Molecule: long non-coding RNA, 1296 nt
Filed under: Zostera marina
Lineage: Eukaryota; Viridiplantae; Streptophyta; Magnoliopsida; Alismatales; Zosteraceae
Description: long non-coding RNA (ZMAR_LNC005597)
Source: RNAcentral